GCAUAUCAAUAAGCGGAGGAAAAGAAACCAACAGGGAUUGCUCUAGUAACGGCGAGUGAAGCAGCAAUAGCUCAAAUUUGAAAUCUGGCGUCUUCGACGUCCGAGUUGUAAUUUGUAGAGGAUGCUUCUGAGUGGCCACCGACCUAAGUUCCUUGGAACAGGACGUCAUAGAGGGUGAGAAUCCCGUAUGCGGUCGGAAAGGCGCUCUAUACGUAGCUCCUUCGACGAGUCGAGUUGUUUGGGAAUGCAGCUCUAAAUGGGAGGUAAAUUUCUUCUAAAGCUAAAUAUUGGCCAGAGACCGAUAGCGCACAAGUAGAGUGAUCGAAAGAUGAAAAGCACUUUGGAAAGAGAGUUAAAAAGCACGUGAAAUUGUUAAAAGGGAAGGGAUUGCAACCAGACUUGCUCGCGGUGUUCCGCCGGUCUUCUGACCGGUCUACUCGCCGCGUUGCAGGCCAGCAUCGUCUGGUGCCGCUGGAUAAGACUUGAGGAAUGUAGCUCCCUCGGGAGUGUUAUAGCCUCUCGUGAUGCAGCGAGCGCCGGGCGAGGUCCGCGCUUCGGCUAGGAUGCUGGCGUAAUGGUCGUAAUCCGCCCGUCUUGAAACACGGACC
RNAcentral lists this ribosomal RNA (608 nucleotides) under uncultured fungus. Its description in RNAcentral is "LSU rRNA". It matches the Rfam family "Eukaryotic large subunit ribosomal RNA", at positions 38 to 667 of the family's 3401-position model. The record is from RNAcentral. Lineage: Eukaryota; Fungi.